RNAcentral lists this ribosomal RNA (315 nucleotides) under Crangon crangon. RNAcentral describes it as "partial 12S ribosomal RNA". The record is from RNAcentral. Lineage: Eukaryota; Metazoa; Arthropoda; Malacostraca; Decapoda; Crangonidae.
UCUUGAAAUUUAAAGUAUUUGGCGGUACUUUAAUCCAGUUAGAGGAACCUGUUGUAUAAAUGAUAUUCCACGAAGAAUCUUACUUUAGUUUAAAUAGUUUGUAUACCGCCAUUAUUAGAUGAUCUUAUAAAAGAAGACUCGAGGAAAGAAUUCUUAGUACAUUAGGUCAAGGUGCAGCUUAUACUGAAGAAAUUAAUGGGUUACAUUUAAAUAGUUAAAACGAAUAAAUAAUUGAAAUUUAAAUUGAAGGCGGAUUUAAUUGUAAUUUUAUUUUAAUAAGAUAAAAUGAUAACGGCACUAAAGUAUGUACAUACG